GGAUUGUGGCUCAGCGGUAGAGUGCUUGUCUUGCACACGUGAGGCUCUGGGUUCGAUCCUCAGCACCA
Molecule: transfer RNA, 68 nt
Filed under: Marmota monax (woodchuck)
Lineage: Eukaryota; Metazoa; Chordata; Mammalia; Rodentia; Sciuridae
Description: tRNA.Ala
Rfam family: tRNA (bases 5-65)
About the family: Transfer RNA (tRNA) molecules are approximately 80 nucleotides in length. Their secondary structure includes four short double-helical elements and three loops (D, anti-codon, and T loops).
Source: RNAcentral